AAUAAAACUUGAGUUCGAACAAUCCAUUUUUGGACCUAAUUUCGGACAUAACCCAUAAUUCUCAAGCUCACAAUUUUUAGACUCAUACCCCUAAACUAAUUCCUACGCAUGUAUAAUAGUACCUAACACCUAAAAUAGACCAAGUCUAAAUCAGCGCCGCAAUUCGCGAGACUCUCCCAUAUCGUCUUCUUCAUUGAACGACCGAGGACCUAGACUAAGAGCAAAAGCUGCGCAUCAGCUAGAGAAGGAGGAGCCGCUGCCUUCUCUUCUUCUUCAUGGAUCUCACUGAAAUAAACUGUAUCAAAGGCUCCAUUAACACUCCAAACUUCACCUCGCUUUCCUCCGAAAAUACAGCUUGAAUGUACUGCGAACAACCUCAUAAACGACCCAUAAAAUACAAAUCAAAAUCCCUCUCAAACACAGCUGUAAACUCAUUCCAAAAAUACUUCAAAUCCAGCUGAAAUUCAGCUCCAAAAACAAUAUAAAACACCUCAAUAACCAUCCCCAAACCACCUUGUUUUAGCUUCAAUGCUACUCUAAAAAACACAACAGCCCUUACCAUUAAAACACGCCAAUUUCAGUCCAGUGAGAUUUUAAAUUUCGGGAUUCGAAGUUUGCCUUGCCAACGAGCCUCAAAUUUCCAGAGAGUCGAUAGAGUUUGCCGAAGCUUCCAUGGUCUGACAGGUGGUAAAUUCCAUUCAUAUUUAAUUAAGGUCCGUUUCUUUUUAACUUCAAAACUUGGAUCUUCAUCUUGUAUUGGUUCGUGUGAAGCUUGAAUAUAGCGAGGCCUUAUUAAUAUGGUUUUGAAUAUCUGAUUUGCUCUUUGGUUUAGUUAGCUUUAUAUUCCAAUUUUGAAUACUCUGCUUAGUUGCUUUGGAGACAGUUAAAACGUGUAUGACUUGGGUUCCUUUUCUACUUGUUAGUUGAUACGACAAUAACAAUUCAGUAUAAUUUCAUUUAAUAUGGUUUGGAGAGGGUAGUGUAUACCUUAUUCAUAUCCUUGGAUAGUUUCCAAAUAGACCCCCGACAUCCUCUCCUCCAAGAACUUUCCACCUUGGUCUUAGACCUUGCUCUUGGACCUUACUCUUGAGGAAACUCAAACUCACAAUAUUUCGAUUAAAAGUGAAAGUUGCUUACCAUCAGAGCAAUCCUCUCCGUUAGUUGAUUUGUAAACAACCAAAAUUAUAUUAUCGAAAAGCAAAUAGUAGUAGUAAACAAUUUCUGAAAAAACCAAACUCGUGAACAAGCCAUCAACCACGUCACUCUCAUCAUUAUAAAUACAAGGCCAUACUUUUACAACUUGCCGGGAAGAGAGGAAACUUAAGUGUUGGUUUCCAAAGUGUGAUUUUUUUGUAUGAAGUUAAUACAAAACAAAUUCUAGUAAUAGAAAUAAAGUUUGUUAUCUCAUGAGACGUGUGCUGUAGGGAUUUAAGGUAAUGUUAAAUAGAAUUUUUACACUAUAUAUAAAACUUUCGUACACAAUUUAUUUUAAAUAACUAUUACUUUAAAAUAUUACAUUCUAUAAUUACCUUUUAUCCUUUAUAGCAAAAAACUUAAAUAUAGUUACAUCUUACAAUUAAGGUACCAUAUUGUUUAACCAAAAAAUGGUAUUUCGGUCAACGCUAUAAUUUUAUAUGACGGGCCAUAAGAAACCGAUUCAAUCCGAAAGAUAUAAAUUUUCAUUAAUACAACGUGAUAGAGAAGUGGAAAUAAAUUCAAUGACAGAUAAUAUAAUAAAACUAAAGCUGAGAAAAAAGAAUUCUUAUUGAAUGAUCCUUGAUUGGAUAAUGAGCCGAAUAGAGCUUGAAGCGCCGAACUAUGGCUAACUUGGGAGCAAGAUGCUAUGAAUAUUACAACAUAUAGAAUUGUAGAGAAGAAAAUUAGAUUCCCCCUAUGUUAUUUAUAUGGCUAAAUCUAAGUAACUAAUCUCCUUGAAUUUUGGGUUCCUCAUGAACAUUUACUCAAUCCAUCCAUUACUUUUUGAAGACUUGUAACAACUAUGUAAAUGCUGGAAUUUCGUAAUUGAUGAGUUAAUUCCAUAACUGAUGAGUUAAUUCCGUAUAUAAUGAGUCGUUCUCGUGCCUGUUAAAUCAAUCUCGCGCCUUUUAAGUGAGUCAAUCCCGUGCCUAUUGAGUCAAUAUCGUACCUGUUAAGUGAGUCAGUCUCGUGCCUGUUGUGUCAACCUCGUUCCUGUUAGUUAAUCUCGUGUCUAUUAAGUUAAUCUCGUGCAUGUUAGUCAAACUCCUGCUUGUUGAGUCCAUCUUGUAAUUGAUUGCAUUGUUCUGACCGUUACAAUCAUUUAUUUGCAUUUAUUGUACGUUACAUAAUUGAUUUGUAACCGAUGAUAUAAUUAUAGGAAAUCCCAUAUAAUCCAGAUACAUCCGAUUCCUUCGUCAUUUGUAAUUAUGAGAUAUUCUCCCGCACCUAUUCUGGGCUAUUUAUGAUGAUCAAUUCCAUGGCUAACAGGCAUGAUACGAGUAUAUACGGUCCCGGGGGCGUUUCACAUAUCAUCUUUACAUGUCAUUCUUCACUUUUCUUCAAACUUUGCUGACACGUGUCGCCAUUUAAUUGACCCAUAUGGCGAGUCUAAUUUUUACCAAUACAGAUAGUCCCCCACUUAUUGGUUACUCAUUAUGAUGUGAGCGGAAAGUGGAAUAUUUUAUCAUUUUCAUCCUUGCCUCUGCCUCAUUAAAAACUUUGCAGGGAAAACCCAAUUGGGAAAAAUAUCGGAUGAAGAAAAAACAAUGCAGAAAUUAGAGAUUCAGAUG
Molecule: long non-coding RNA, 2768 nt
Filed under: Nicotiana benthamiana
Lineage: Eukaryota; Viridiplantae; Streptophyta; Magnoliopsida; Solanales; Solanaceae
Description: long non-coding RNA (NBEN_LNC027560)
Source: RNAcentral